This 180-nucleotide unclassified non-coding RNA is filed under the name fungal sp. Its description in RNAcentral is "partial internal transcribed spacer region". The stretch from base 1 to 65 matches the Rfam family "Eukaryotic small subunit ribosomal RNA", at positions 1767 to 1831 of the family's 1831-position model. Lineage: Eukaryota; Fungi. The record is from RNAcentral.
CUUGUCAUUGAGGAAGUAAAAGUCGUAACAAGGUUUCCGUAGGUGAACCUGCGGAAGGAUCAUUAAAAAUACCAAAUAUUUUUAUACACCUUCAAAUUUUAUUGAUACUAUUCUUUAUUUCAUUCGAAAUAAAAAUAAAUAAUCUAAAUAUAACUUUUAACAAUGGAUCUCUUGGCUCUC